UACGUAGGGUGCAAGCGUUAAUCGGAAUUACUGGGCGUAAAGCGUGCGCAGGCGGUUUUGUAAGACUGUCGUGAAAUCCCCGGGCUUAACCUGGGAAUUGCGAUGGUGACUGCAAGGCUAGAGUUUGGCAGAGGGGGGUAGAAUUCCACGUGUAGCAGUGAAAUGCGUAGAGAUGUGGAGGAACACCGAUGGCGAAGGCAGCCCCCUGGGUCAAAAACUGACGCUCAUGCACGAAAGCGUGGGGAGCAAACAGG
This 254-nucleotide ribosomal RNA is filed under the name uncultured bacterium. RNAcentral describes it as "partial 16S ribosomal RNA". It matches the Rfam family "Bacterial small subunit ribosomal RNA", at positions 524 to 776 of the family's 1533-position model. The record is from RNAcentral.